UAAUACGUGAUUGGUGUUCCCAG
This 23-nucleotide microRNA is filed under the name Caenorhabditis briggsae. Its description in RNAcentral is "cbr-miR-70". Its record names the gene cbr-miR-70. Lineage: Eukaryota; Metazoa; Nematoda; Chromadorea; Rhabditida; Rhabditidae. The record is from miRBase by way of RNAcentral.